Molecule: ribosomal RNA, 332 nt
Filed under: uncultured Gemmatimonas sp.
Lineage: Bacteria; Pseudomonadati; Gemmatimonadota; Gemmatimonadia; Gemmatimonadales; Gemmatimonadaceae
Description: bacterial SSU rRNA
Rfam family: Bacterial small subunit ribosomal RNA
Source: RNAcentral
CGCGUAGGUGGCUGGGUAAGUGUGCGGUGAAAGCCCGGGGCUCAACCCCGGGUCGGCCGUGCAGACUGCUUGGCUUGAGCAUAGUAGAGGCAGGUGGAAUUCCGGGUGUAGCGGUGGAAUGCGUAGAGAUCCGGAAGAACACCGGUGGCGAAGGCGGCCUGCUGGGCUAUUGCUGACACUGAGGCGCGACAGCGUGGGGAGCAAACAGGAUUAGAUACCCUGGUAGUCCACGCCGUAAACGAUGGGUACUAGGUGUCUGGGGGAGCGACCCCCUGGGUGCCGGCGCUAACGCAUGAAGUACCCCGCCUGGGGAGUACGGCCGCAAGGCUGAA